This 275-nucleotide ribosomal RNA is filed under the name uncultured bacterium. RNAcentral's name for it is "partial 16S ribosomal RNA". It matches the Rfam family "Bacterial small subunit ribosomal RNA", at positions 524 to 794 of the family's 1533-position model. The record is from RNAcentral.
UACGGAGGGUCCGAGCGUUAAUCGGAAUUACUGGGCGUAAAGCGUGCGCAGGCGGUUUGUUAAGCGAGAUGUGAAAGCCCCCGGGCUCAACCUGGGAAUUGCAUUUCGAACUGGCGAACUAGAGUCUUGUAGAGGGGGUAGGAAUUCCAGGUGUAGCGGUGAAAUAGCGUAGAGAUCUGGAGGAAUACCGGUGGCGAAGGCGGCCCCCUCGGACAAAGAACUGACGCUCAGGCACGAAAGCGUGGGGAGCAAACAGGAUUAGAUACCCGGGUAGU